Molecule: ribosomal RNA, 903 nt
Filed under: Sphaerirostris lanceoides
Lineage: Eukaryota; Metazoa; Acanthocephala; Palaeacanthocephala; Polymorphida; Centrorhynchidae
Description: 16S ribosomal RNA
Rfam family: Bacterial large subunit ribosomal RNA (bases 630-852)
Source: RNAcentral
AGUUUCAGAAUAGUCUAUUUUAAUAAAUUUAAAGAGGUAAUUAAAAUGGAGGAAGUUAUGGGAGGACUACCUUUUGUAUAAGGGGGUCAGGAUAAAAGGUCUAUGGAUUUUUCCCCAAUUCACAGGAGAUUCGAGUACAAUUUUGGGAGAGGUUUCAGGAUUAGUAUUAGAAGUAGUGAGAUGUUAGCGACUGUGAUAUAAGUGGAAGGAGUGAUUAGGUAAGUUAGUCAGAAAUUUCUGAGUGUUCAAAGUUAAUGGUAAGUGUUUGUCCACCAUAUUGUUCCAAUAAUACGAGAGGGUAUGGAAUUUUGAAUAUUUAGAUGAGGAAGUUGGGAGAAUUUCCUUGUGGAGAAUAUCUGGUUAUUAGUAGAUGAGUGGUAUGAGUAGGUAAAGGAUGGAAUUGUUUUGUGGACUCGGAUCAUAAGCAAAUGUUUAUUAAAAACAUUUCUCGUUAGAUGGCGAGUAUCCCCUGCCCAAUGAGAUUUUAAUGGCCGCAGUAAGUUGACUGUGCUAAGGUAGCAUAAUAAAUAGGUUGUUGAAUGUGAUCUGGUAUGAAUGGGGGAAUGACUUGUGGAAAGUUCUGAACAGUGAGUGAAAUUGUGGGUAAGUGAAAAUGCUUAUGGGUUUUAAAAGACGGAAAGACCCCGGAAGCUUUACAAUCAUAUUGUUUUGUUGGGGCAAUAUCUGAAAAAAGAAGUUUCAGAUUCGGAGUUACUCCGGGGAUAACAGGGCUAUCGUUUUACAAAAAUGGGUUGUCACCUCGAUGUUGGAUCAUCCUUGAGAAAGUCUGUUCGACUAUUGGGGGUUACGUGAUCUGAGUUAGAUCGGCGGAUCAGAAUCGGUUCUUAUCUUGUAAUAGGUUUCUGUGGUACGAAAGGGAGUAGGAGCCGUAAUGAUUAUAUU